Non-coding RNA from Oryza brachyantha (malo sina), 209 nucleotides. Lineage: Eukaryota; Viridiplantae; Streptophyta; Magnoliopsida; Poales; Poaceae. The record is from Rfam.
AAUAACCUCAUUUUUUAUUUUUUCGUAUCCAACAUUUGACCAUUCGUUUUAUUUAAAAAAUUUGUACAAAAACUUAAAAAAAAUUAGGCAUGUAUAAAGUACUAUUCAUAUUUUAUCAUCUAAUAACAAUAAAAUAUUAAUCGCAAAAAAAUUUCAAAUAAGAUGAAUGGUCAAACGUUAGACACGGAAAAACGAAAAACGAGCUUAUC